UACGAAGGGUGCAAGCGUUACUCGGAAUUACUGGGCGUAAAGCGUGCGUAGGUGGUUCGUUAAGUCUGAUGUGAAAGCCCUGGGCUCAACCUGGGAAUGGCAUUGGAUACUGGCGACCUAGAGUGCGGUAGAGGGGUGUGGAAUUCCCGGUGUAGCAGUGAAAUGCGUAGAUAUCGGGAGGAACAUCUGUGGCGAAGGCGGCUACCUGGACCAGCACUGACACUGAGGCACGAAAGCGUGGGGAGCAAACAGG
This 253-nucleotide ribosomal RNA is filed under the name uncultured bacterium. Its description in RNAcentral is "partial 16S ribosomal RNA". It matches the Rfam family "Bacterial small subunit ribosomal RNA", at positions 524 to 776 of the family's 1533-position model. The record is from RNAcentral.